CGAAAGCCUGACGGAGCAACGCCGCGUGUGGGAAGAAGGCUCUUGGGCUGUCAACCACUUUUCUCAGGGAAGAAGACCUGACGGUACCUGAGGAAUCAGCCUCGGCUAACUCCGUGCCAGCAGCCGCGGUAAUACGGAGGAGGCAAGCGUUAUCCGGAAUUAUUGGGCGUAAAGCGUCCGCAGGGGGCUCAUCAAGUCUGCUGUCAAAGCCCGGGGCUCAACCCCGACGCGGCAGUGGAAACUGGGAGGCUAGAGUACGGCAGGGGUAGAGGGAAUUCCCAGUGUAGCGGUGAAAUGCGUAGAUAUUGGGAAGAACACCGGUGGCGAAAGCGCUCUACUGGGUCGCGCCUGACCCUCAGGGACGAAAGCUAAGGUAGCG
Molecule: ribosomal RNA, 379 nt
Filed under: uncultured cyanobacterium
Lineage: Bacteria; Bacillati; Cyanobacteriota
Description: bacterial SSU rRNA
Rfam family: Bacterial small subunit ribosomal RNA
Source: RNAcentral